GGCACCGUGGCCUAAUGGUAAGGCGUUGCUUUCCGGUCUUACUGCCUGGCAAAGAUUGUGGGUUCGAGUCCCAUCGGUGUCG
Non-coding RNA from Coniosporium tulheliwenetii, 82 nucleotides. NCBI's taxonomy places the organism in Eukaryota, Fungi, Ascomycota, Dothideomycetes. The record is from the annotation of a GenBank genome assembly.